Molecule: transfer RNA, 84 nt
Filed under: Bacteroidota bacterium
Lineage: Bacteria; Pseudomonadati; Bacteroidota
Also listed under: 1 other name
Description: Bacteroidetes bacterium tRNA-Leu
Rfam family: tRNA
About the family: Transfer RNA (tRNA) molecules are approximately 80 nucleotides in length.
Source: RNAcentral
GCCGGAGUGGCGGAACUGGCAGACGCGGCGGAUUCAAAAUCCGCUGGGCUAACACCCUUGGGGGUUCGAGUCCCCCCUCCGGCA